Chenopodium quinoa (quinoa) is the source of this 2091-nucleotide long non-coding RNA. RefSeq lists it as uncharacterized. The record is from RefSeq and is a predicted model, not a curated record. Lineage: Eukaryota; Viridiplantae; Streptophyta; Magnoliopsida; Caryophyllales; Amaranthaceae. The transcript has 2 exons.
AACUCUUAUAAAUAGUGUGAAGACCACUUUAACCUGAAAAUGUUAAUUUACAUUUUUACCCCCAUUUUAUAUUUUGAUACUUUUGACUUGAAUUUUUUACCUUUCCUUUCUUUCCUCGGUGUAUUUCUGCCUAAUUAUUCAUCAUCUCCUCUCAAGCCUCAAUAACGUUUUUUUUUAUUUCAUUCACUUUCCUCCUUUAAUACCCGACUUCUCAAUAGCAAUCUCAUUUUUCAUCAUCUUAUCUUAUAUAUAUUUGAUCUCCUUCGUUCUAUUUCAGUAGAUGAUUGUUAGGUGUAAUUAAUCAUUAGGUAUAGAUUGUCCAAAUCAAGAUUAUAGUCGAUUUGUAUUCUUGUUGUUGAUUACCUAAGCUUCAAGCUUGUUCAUGUUGGUGAUGGUGAAAUUGGUAAUUAUUCUAUUCCGUUUUUGUUUAUAAUUUUAUAAAUUUCUGGGAGUUAUGAUUUAUUCAUAGAGAAACACAUGAUCUGGUAAAUUUGUUUCUGAAUUUUUUAGGUAUUUUAUCUAGGCUUGAUUUUACAAUUGUAAAUUGUAAUUAUUUUUGGGUUGAUUGCUUUAAUUGUUUUUUUUUUAUUAUAAAUAAACAAUUUGGAGGAAGGAUUGAUUUGUUGUCGUCACUUCAUAAUUCAGAACCUAAUAACUUUUCUUGCAAAUUUAGUAAUUUAUGAAAUUACAAUCGUUUUAGGCUGAGCUUGUUCAUUACGGAGGUAUGCUUAUUAACAAAUUUUGCAAGAAAUUCUUAUCAUACAAUAUACAGUUCCUUCUAGAAAGCUCUGAGUUACUCCGUCAAAUCUCGCGGAGUUGAGCUUCCGAGUCACCGAUUUUCGAAUUCAAACUCUGCUGCUUUAUCUACCAAAUACCAAUGGUAGAUAAGUGUUUCGAUUAUGAUCUUGUUAUUAUUGUCGUUGGUGUUGCCAUUCACGUCGUUGAGAAGGUAGAUAAAUUUUGUUGCUUUGUGUUAUUUGGUAAUUGGUAUCUAAUGAUAUAAUGACAUAUUGACAUAUUGUGCAAUGUGUUGGAAUUUAUGUUAUUAAGGAUUAAUUUUAGCUAAGGGGGCGUUUGGUUCACAGAGUGGUAUGGGGUUGGAAUCAGGAAUGGGGUUAAGGUGGUAUCGGGUUGGAACUUGAUACUUAAUACCAUGUGUUUGGUUUAAUUCUGGAAUGUAAUAUCUCACUAUUUUCUCCUUUUAUUUGAUACCUAAGGGAAUGGAAUGAGCCAAACCCACCUCCCCCCAAGGUUUCUAAACCCCAUACCUCAUGGGUUUGAGGUAUGGGUUUGAAAUUCAUAUUUUUGACAACCAGACAUAUGGUAUGGGUUUUAGUCAUUCUAAACCCAUACCUCAUACCUAUAUUUCGUGAACCAAACGCCCCCUAAUAAUGGUUGUGAUUUGCAUAGCAAUUUAGUAGCGGAUGUGCCGAAUCGCCGAUAAUUGUAUGUGUUUUGACUAUUUUGGGUGAGUUGUAAGCAAAUUUGGAUAUGCUAGCUAGGAAAGACUACAUUUGUUAGAAGUCAUCUUCUUCGUGAAUUAGAGGAGAAAUUUGAAAUUAAGUUUGUUAGUUGUUAAUUGAUUAUUGAGGUGAAUAAUUUGAUGGUUGAGAGUGUUUUGAUUGUACAACCACUUUUAUUGUCGAAGUUCAUCCAUUGGAUUUUCAUAAUUUUUCCCUCCAUUGAAAUUAUGUAUAACAAAAAUUAACCAUCACUACGCAGUAACAGUAAAAGGAAUAAGUCAAUUACUAAUAACUAAAUAGCUAAUACGAACGCCCACAGCAUUGAACAAUGAAGAUCUUAUCACAAAAUGAUAUUUAGAUUUUAUCAUUUACUUAUGUAAUACUAAUUUUCAAUCUCAUUAUAGAGCACCUAAGAUGGAGAUGAAUGAAUGAUAAAGACAAGUGUAUUCAUUUGUUUAAGGAUGAGUCUCUUACGUACAAGAGAGAUUAUUGUAAUCAAUAAUGGCUAAAGGUAGAUCAUUUCAGCAGAUUCUUAAGAAGAAGUUUCAAUAUCGUUCCAUUGUAACUAUAAAAAAAAUUGUUUAUUUAUUUAAAUCAUUUUUUUGAUUAAUAAAGGAUUUUUGAAUUA